RNA transcript from Mus musculus (house mouse), 2239 nucleotides. It is a transcript of the gene named excision repaiross-complementing rodent repair deficiency, complementation group 8, with no coding region annotated. NCBI's taxonomy places the organism in Eukaryota, Metazoa, Chordata, Mammalia, Rodentia, Muridae. The transcript is spliced from 13 exons. The record is from RefSeq and is marked validated.
UGAGAGCCCGUGUUGUUGCAUCCCCCAGUUCCCCGGUCUGUCAUGGCAGCGCCCAGGCCUCCAGCCGGUGUGUGGACCCGAGAUGUUGAGCUUUUUGUCCGCUCGACAGUCGGGUUUGGAGGACCCUCUUCGCUUGCGUAGAGCGCAGUCCACACGGAGGGUCCUGGGGCUGGAGUUAAACAAAGACAGGGAUGUGGAAAGAAUCCAUGGCAGUGGGGUUAACACCCUCGACAUUGAGCCCGUUGAAGGAAGAUACAUGUUGUCAGGUGGCUCCGAUGGCGUGGUUGUACUCUAUGACCUUGAGAACGCCAGCAGACAGCCCCAUUACACAUGUAAAGCAGUGUGUUCCGUUGGCAGAAGCCAUCCCGAUGUUCACAAAUACAGCGUGGAGACUGUUCAGUGGUAUCCUCAUGACACUGGCAUGUUCACAUCCAGCUCAUUUGAUAAAACUCUGAAAGUGUGGGAUACAAACACAUUGCAGGCUGCAGAUGUGUUUAAUUUUGAGGAAACAGUUUACAGUCAUCACAUGUCCCCAGCAGCCACCAAGCACUGUCUGGUAGCAGUUGGAACAAGAGGACCCAAGGUACAACUUUGUGACUUAAAGUCUGGAUCCUGUUCUCACAUUCUACAGGGUCACAGACAGGAAAUCUUGGCAGUUUCCUGGUCACCACGCCAUGACUAUAUCUUGGCAACAGCAAGGUGCACAUGUAUGAGUGUAAGCCAGCGGCUGACACUGGGGUUGUCGUCCUCCACUGGAUUUAUUCAGAAGCUCUCCACUGAGCCUUGAGCGCAUCAGUUUAGUGCUGACAGUAGAGUAAAAUUAUGGGAUGUGAGAAGAGCGUCAGGAUGCUUGCUUACUCUUGACCAGCAUAAUGGGAAAAAGUCACAAGCUGCUGAAUCAGCAAACACUGCUCACAAUGGGAAAGUUAACGGCUUAUGUUUUACAAGUGACGGCCUUCACCUGCUCACCAUUGGCACAGACAACCGAAUGCGCCUCUGGAAUAGCUCCAGCGGGGACAACACCCUGGUGAACUAUGGGAAGGUGUGUAAUGACAGCAGGAAAGGGCUGCAGUUCGCUGUCUCCUGUGGCUGCAGCUCAGAGUUUGUGUUUGUUCCCCACGGCAGCACCAUCGCUGUGUACGCAGUCCACUCGGGAGAGCGGCUCGCCAUGCUCAAGGGACAUUACAAAAGCGUCGACUGCUGUGUGUUCCAGCCUAAUUUCCAGGAACUUUACAGUGGAAGCAGGGACUGCAAUAUUCUUGCUUGGGUACCACCUUCCUAUGAGCCAGUUCCUGAUGAUGACGAUGAAGCUCCAGCCAAAUCCCAGUUAAACCCAGCAUUCGCGGACGCCUGGAGCAGCAGUGACGAGGAUGGGUGACUGUCAGCCCUGGCUCCUUGUCCAUCAGACUUCCACGACAGUGUUGUGUGCACUUCAGCACGAGCAGGGUUGUUCUUCCCGUUAUUGUUGGUUUUGAGACAGUGUCUCACGAUGUAACCCUGGCUAGCCUGGACUAGCCUGGAACUCUGUAUAGAGCAGACUCGGCUCACACUGGCAGCUAUUCUGCCUCUGCUCCCAGGUGCUGGGGUUAGAGGUGUAUACCACGUGGCCCCUCCUGUACAUGUGUGUGAUUGUUUGUUUCAUUGUUUGUAAACUCUUCAGUCAGUUUUUAACCUGUUAAUCCUGAGUUUGGGAUAUUUCCCUGUGUGCUUUAAAAUGAGAUCGAUGUGUAUGAUACCCUGAAAUAUACUUUUCUGUCGGUUAAUUAAUCAGAACUUGUCUCCUUGAGCGCAUUCACCAGGGUGGUGGGCCAGCCCCUACGGGCACAGCCCAAGAACAGACUUGUUAUUCCCAGCUGGGACCUUCAUAUGUGCAUCCAAGGAGCUGAAAGUAUGACCCAGGAAGCUCUCAGCUCUGACUCCUGACUGUGCUGCCAGCCUGCCCUUCCCACCUUCAGGGAGGAGUUUAGCAAGGAGGAUUAGAGAAACUUGUUGCAACAGUGGCAUCAUAAUGCUAGAUUUUUUACUCAAACUGAAUGGCUUCAUGUAAUCGAGCCUCUUCUCCCUCAUAUUGAAUGUUAGCCACUCAUGCAUCUUGCAGUGUGAACAUCGUAUCACAUAGGCAAUCCCUGACCACUUUGUAUUGCUCUCAGAGGGCAGCUUACACUCAGUCUUAAUUCCUUCCUGUGAAACUCAGCAAAAUCCAUGCAGGGAUGUAGAUUAAACAUGAAAUGCCAUACAA